UACGUAGGGGGCAAGCGUUAUCCGGAUUUACUGGGUGUAAAGGGAGCGUAGACGGCACGGCAAGCCAGAUGUGAAAGCCCGGGGCUCAACCCCAGGAGUGCAUUUGGAACUGCUGAGCUAGAGUGUCGGAGAGGCAAGUGGAAUUCCUAGUGUAGCGGUGAAAUGCGUAGAUAUUAGGAGGAACACCAGUGGCGAAGGCGGCUUGCUGGACGAUGACUGACGUUGAGGCUCGAAAGCGUGGGGAGCAAACAGG
Molecule: ribosomal RNA, 253 nt
Filed under: Dorea longicatena
Lineage: Bacteria; Bacillati; Bacillota; Clostridia; Lachnospirales; Lachnospiraceae
Description: partial 16S ribosomal RNA
Rfam family: Bacterial small subunit ribosomal RNA
Source: RNAcentral